This 436-nucleotide ribosomal RNA is filed under the name uncultured bacterium. RNAcentral describes it as "bacterial SSU rRNA". It matches the Rfam family "Bacterial small subunit ribosomal RNA", at positions 958 to 1392 of the family's 1533-position model. The record is from RNAcentral.
AACGCGAAGAACCUUACCAGGGCUUGACAUAAUGUUGACCGGUAUAGAGAUAUACCCUUUACUUCGGUAACAAUAUUACAGGUGGUGCAUGGUUGUCGUCAGCUCGUGUCGUGAGAUGUUGGGUUAAGUCCCGCAACGAGCGCAACCCCUGUCUUUAGUUGUUAACAGAUAAAGCUGAACCCUCUAGAGAGACUGCCGAUGAGAAAUCGGAGGAAGGUGGGGAUGACGUCAAAUCAUCAUGCCCUUUAUGUCCUGGGCUACACACGUGCUACAAUGGUCGGUACAACGAGGAGCUACACAGCGAUGUGAUGCAAAUCUCUUAAAGCCGAUCUCAGUUCGGAUUGCAGGCUGCAACUCGCCUGCAUGAGGUCGGAGUUGCUAGUAAUCGCGAAUCAGAAUGUCGCGGUGAAUGCGUUCCCGGGCCUUGUACACACCG